CCGUAACUUCGGGAGAAGGUGCGCCGGCUAGGGUGAAGGAUUUACUCCGUAAGCUCUGGCUGGUCGAAGAUACCAGGCCGCUGCGACUGUUUAUUAAAAACACAGCACUCUGCAAACACGAAAGUGGACGUAUAGGGUGUGACGCCUGCCCGGUGCCGGAAGGUUAAUUGAUGGGGUUAGCGCAAGCGAAGCUCUUGAUCGAAGCCCCGGUAAACGGCGGCCGUAACUAUAACGGUCCUAAGGUAGCGAAAUUCCUUGUCGGGUAAGUUCCGACCUGCACGAAUGGCGUAACGAUGGCGGCGCUGUCUCCACCCGAGACUCAGUGAAAUUGAAAUCGCUGUGAAGAUGCAGUGUAUCCGCGGCUAGACGGAAAGACCCCGUGAACCUUUACUGUAGCUUUGCACUGGACUUUGAGCCUGCUUGUGUAGGAUAGGUGGGAGGCUUUGAAGCGUGGACGCCAGUUCGCGUGGAGCCAUCCUUGAAAUACCACCCUGGCAUGCUUGAGGUUCUAACUCUGGUCCGUGAUCCGGAUCGAGGACAGUGUAUGGUGGGCAGUUUGACUGGGGCGGUCUCCUCCUAAAGAGUAACGGAGGAGUACGAAGGUGCGCUCAGACCGGUCGGAAAUCGGUCGCAGAGUAUAAAGGCAAAAGCGCGCUUGACUGCGAGACAGACACGUCGAGCAGGUACGAAAGUAGGUCUUAGUGAUCCGGUGGUUCUGUAUGGAAGGGCCAUCGCUCAACGGAUAAAAGGUACUCCGGGGAUAACAGGCUGAUACCGCCCAAGAGUUCAUAUCGACGGCGGUGUUUGGCACCUCGAUGUCGGCUCAUCACAUCCUGGGGCUGAAGCCGGUCCCAAGGGUAUGGCUGUUCGCCAUUUAAAGUGGUACGCGAGCUGGGUUUAGAACGUCGUGAGACAGUUCGGUCCCUAUCUGCCGUGGACGUUUGAGAUUUGAGAGGGGCUGCUCCUAGUACGAGAGGACCGGAGUGGACGAACCUCUGGUGUUCCGGUUGUCACGCCAGUGGCAUUGCCGGGUAGCUAUGUUCGGAAAAGAUAACCGCUGAAAGCAUCUAAGCGGGAAACUUGCCUCAAGAUGAGAUCUCACUGGGAACUUGAUUCCCCUGAAGGGCCGUCGAAGACUACGACGUUGAUAGGCUGGGUGUGUAAGCGUUGUGAGGCGUUGAGCUAACCAGUACUAAUUGCCCGUGAGGCUUGACCAU
Molecule: ribosomal RNA, 1217 nt
Filed under: Pseudomonas aeruginosa BWHPSA015
Lineage: Bacteria; Pseudomonadati; Pseudomonadota; Gammaproteobacteria; Pseudomonadales; Pseudomonadaceae
Description: bacterial LSU rRNA
Rfam family: Bacterial large subunit ribosomal RNA
Source: RNAcentral